UACAGAGGGGGCAAGCGUUGUUCGGAAUUACUGGGCGUAAAGGGCGCGUAGGCGGCCCACUAAGUCGGACGUGAAAUCCCCGGGCUCAACCCGGGAACUGCGUCCGAUACUGGUGGGCUUGAAUCCGGGAGAGGGAUGCGGAAUUCCAGGUGUAGCGGUGAAAUGCGUAGAUAUCUGGAGGAACACCGGUGGCGAAGGCGGCAUCCUGGACCGGCAUUGACGCUGAGGCGCGAAAGCCAGGGGAGCAAACGGG
Molecule: ribosomal RNA, 253 nt
Filed under: uncultured bacterium
Lineage: Bacteria
Description: partial 16S ribosomal RNA
Rfam family: Bacterial small subunit ribosomal RNA
Source: RNAcentral